UAUUUAGAACGGUGCUGAUCUGAUGAAUAAAAUAUUGAUCAGUGCCUUUCUGAGUAGAGUAA
RNAcentral lists this microRNA precursor (62 nucleotides) under Mus pahari (shrew mouse). Its description in RNAcentral is "microRNA 465d (MGP_PahariEiJ_G0007861.1)". Lineage: Eukaryota; Metazoa; Chordata; Mammalia; Rodentia; Muridae. The record is from RNAcentral.